Long non-coding RNA from Capsicum annuum, 748 nucleotides. RefSeq lists it as uncharacterized. The transcript is spliced from 2 exons. The record is from RefSeq and is a predicted model, not a curated record. Lineage: Eukaryota; Viridiplantae; Streptophyta; Magnoliopsida; Solanales; Solanaceae.
GUCACCUUUUUCUUUACUUUUUUCGUUUUAAACACACACCUAUACGUACAUACCGACAAACAAAUGUUCUCUUCUAUCUCACUUUCUCUCUCUUAAUUCACUCUCUCUUUCUUUUCUCUUUACUGCCACCCACUCCCCCCAAUUCACUCACCUACCACACAAUUAUUUAAAAAAUAACACAAUACACACCCACGCCAUAAUAUUUCCCUUUCAUUUUUCUAUAACAACAAAACAAACAACAACCAGUAACCGCAUCACUCCUUCUCCGUUUUUAUUUUCAUUUUUCAUAAACAACAACUACUCCCUCUAUUAAUCUCCCUUCUCGCCUCCACCCUUCUAGCAAAACACCACCAAUUUUUUUCCUUUUCCGCCACCCUUUUUUCAGCCACCACUAAAACGACACCCCUCUCUCUUCACUUUUUUUGAUCUUGCAGAUCUGUUAGGCUUUGAUAUCCGUGGCUUCGAUCACUGAUUUUAUUUAGUAGUAUACGUUAAAUUUGAUUGCUUGAUUUUUGGUUUCACAGAUCUUGUCGGAGUAGGUACUCGGGAAUGAUAUUUAAAGGAGCUUAAUUUUCUUAUAUCUGUAUUUUUUUUAUUAUUAUUAUUGUAAAAAUAUUAAUUAUAGUGAAUUUUUGGAUGGUUGGCGGGGAUGUUCUUUAUUUAUACAAUAUUAUGUAAUUUUCCUUUAAAAAUAAUUUCUUCUUUAUUCAUUCUUUACCUUCUUUUUUUAUAUAUCUUUCUUUUUUUA